UGCCAGCCGCCGCGGUAAUACGGAGAGGGCGAGCGUUAUUCGGAUUUAUUGGGCGUAAAGGGCGUGUAGGCGGCUUGGCAGGUCAAAGGUGAAAUCCCGGGGCUUAACCCCGGAACUGCCCUCAAAACUGUCGAUCUAGAGACCGGGAGAGGUAAGCGGAAUUCCUAGUGUAGAGGUGAAAUUCGUAGAUAUUAGGAAGAACACCAGUGGCGAAGGCGGCUUACUGGACCGGUACUGACGCUGAGGUACGAAAGCGUGGGGAGCGAACAGGAUUAGAUA
Molecule: ribosomal RNA, 279 nt
Filed under: uncultured bacterium
Lineage: Bacteria
Description: partial 16S ribosomal RNA
Rfam family: Bacterial small subunit ribosomal RNA
Source: RNAcentral